UAGAAGCGUAUAUUAAUUUUGUUGCAGUUAAAAAGCUCGUAGUUGGAUUUCUGGUGGGAGGGAUCGGUCCGCUUUAUAGUGGUACUUGUGUCUUCUCCGGCCAUCCUUGGGUGGAGGUUGUCUGGCAUUAAGUUGUCGGGCAGCGGAUGCCCAUCGUUUACUGUGAAAAAAUUAGAGUGUUCAAAGCAGGCUUAUGCCGUUGAAUAUAUUAGCAUGGAAUAAUAAGAUAGGACUUUGGUACUAUUUUGUUGGUUUGCGCACCGAAGUAAUGAUCAAUAGGGACAGUUGGGGGUAUUCGUAUUCAGUUGUCAGAGGUGAAAUUCUUAGAUUUACGGAAGACGAACUACUGCGAAAGCAUUUACCAAGGAUGUUUNCAUUA
Molecule: ribosomal RNA, 379 nt
Filed under: uncultured eukaryote
Lineage: Eukaryota
Description: partial 18S ribosomal RNA
Rfam family: Eukaryotic small subunit ribosomal RNA
Source: RNAcentral